UACAGAGGUCUCAAGCGUUGUUCGGAUUCAUUGGGCGUAAAGGGUGCGUAGGCGGCGCGGUAAGUCGGGUGUGAAAUCUCGGAGCUUAACUCCGAAACUGCAUUCGAUACUGCCGUGCUUGAGGACUGGAGAGGAGACUGGAAUUUACGGUGUAGCGGUGAAAUGCGUAGAUAUCGUAAGGAAGACCAAUGGCGAAGGCGGGUCUCUGGACAGUUCCUGACGCUGAGGCACGAAGGUCAGGGGAGCAAACGGG
This 253-nucleotide ribosomal RNA is filed under the name uncultured bacterium. RNAcentral's name for it is "partial 16S ribosomal RNA". It matches the Rfam family "Bacterial small subunit ribosomal RNA", at positions 524 to 776 of the family's 1533-position model. The record is from RNAcentral.